This 496-nucleotide ribosomal RNA is filed under the name uncultured bacterium. Its description in RNAcentral is "partial 16S ribosomal RNA". It matches the Rfam family "Bacterial small subunit ribosomal RNA", at positions 28 to 507 of the family's 1533-position model. The record is from RNAcentral.
GAUGAACGCUGGUGGCGUGCCUAAUACAUGCAAGUAGAACGCUGAAGGAGGAGCUUGCUCUUUCCGGAUGAGUUGCGAACGGGUGAGUAACGCGUAGGUAACCUGCCUGGUAGCGGGGGAUAACUAUUGGAAACGAUAGCUAAUACCGCAUAACAGUAGAUAUUGCAUGAUAUUUGCUUGAAAGGGGCAAUUGCUCCACUACCAGAUGGACCUGCGUUGUAUUAGCUAGUUGGUGAGGUAACGGCUCACCAAGGCGACGAUACAUAGCCGACCUGAGAGGGUGAUCGGCCACACUGGGACUGAGACACGGCCCAGACUCCUACGGGAGGCAGCAGUAGGGAAUCUUCGGCAAUGGACGGAAGUCUGACCGAGCAACGCCGCGUGAGUGAAGAAGGGUUUCGGAUCGUAAAGCUCUGUUGUAAGAGAAGAACGAGUGUGAGAGUGGAAAGUUCACACUGUGACGGUAUCUUACCAGAAAGGGACGGCUAACUACGUG